Molecule: ribosomal RNA, 546 nt
Filed under: uncultured bacterium
Lineage: Bacteria
Description: partial 16S ribosomal RNA
Rfam family: Bacterial small subunit ribosomal RNA
Source: RNAcentral
UGGGGAAUUUUGGACAAUGGGCGAAAGCCUGAUCCAGCAAUGCCGCGUGUGUGAAGAAGGCCUUCGGGUUGUAAAGCACUUUUGUCCGGAAAGAAAUCCUUGGCUCUAAUACAGUCGGGGGAUGACGGUACCGGAAGAAUAAGCACCGGCUAACUACGUGCCAGCAGCCGCGGUAAUACGUAGGGUGCAAGCGUUAAUCGGAAUUACUGGGCGUAAAGCGUGCGCAGGCGGUUUGCUAAGACCGAUGUGAAAUCCCCGGGCUCAACCUGGGAACUGCAUUGGUGACUGGCAGGCUAGAGUAUGGCAGAGGGGGGUAGAAUUCCACGUGUAGCAGUGAAAUGCGUAGAGAUGUGGAGGAAUACCGAUGGCGAAGGCAGCCCCCUGGGCCAAUACUGACGCUCAUGCACGAAAAGCGUGGGGAGCAAACAGGAUUAGAUACCCUGGUAGUCCACGCCCUAAACGAUGUCAACUAGUUNUUGGGGGAUUCAUUUCCUUAGUAACGUAGCUAACGCGUGAAGUUGACCGCCUGGGGAGUACGGUCGCAAG